This 215-nucleotide ribosomal RNA is filed under the name Phocaeicola plebeius. RNAcentral's name for it is "partial 16S ribosomal RNA". It matches the Rfam family "Bacterial small subunit ribosomal RNA", at positions 347 to 559 of the family's 1533-position model. The record is from RNAcentral. Lineage: Bacteria; Pseudomonadati; Bacteroidota; Bacteroidia; Bacteroidales; Bacteroidaceae.
GGCAGCAGUGAGGAAUAUUGGUCAAUGGACGAGAGUCUGAACCAGCCAAGUAGCGUGAAGGAUGAAGGUCCUACGGAUUGUAAACUUCUUUUAUAAGGGAAUAAACCCUUCCACGUGUGGGAGCUUGUAUGUACCUUAUGAAUAAGCAUCGGCUAACUCCGUGCCAGCAGCCGCGGUAAUACGGAGGAUGCGAGCGUUAUCCGGAUUUAUUGGGU